RNAcentral lists this non-coding RNA (28 nucleotides) under Bombyx mori (domestic silkworm). The record is from RNAcentral. Lineage: Eukaryota; Metazoa; Arthropoda; Insecta; Lepidoptera; Bombycidae.
UGAAUAUCGGAUUAUCGGACGUGGUUGG